GGGGCUGUAGUUAAAUAUAACAUUUGAGUUGCAUUCAAAAAGUACUGUUAAAGUCUACCUCA
RNAcentral lists this transfer RNA (62 nucleotides) under Comatermes perfectus. RNAcentral describes it as "tRNA-Ala". Lineage: Eukaryota; Metazoa; Arthropoda; Insecta; Blattodea; Kalotermitidae. The record is from RNAcentral.